Molecule: ribosomal RNA, 208 nt
Filed under: uncultured bacterium
Lineage: Bacteria
Description: partial 16S ribosomal RNA
Rfam family: Bacterial small subunit ribosomal RNA
Source: RNAcentral
GCGCGUAGGCGGUCUCUUAAGUCAGAUGUGAAAGCCCGGGGCUUAACCCCGGAAGUGCAUUUGAAACUAAGGGACUUGAGUAUGGGAGAGGGAAGUGGAAUUCCUGGUGUAGAGGUGAAAUUCGUAGAUAUCAGGAGGAACACCGGUGGCGAAGGCGACUUCCUGGACCAAUACUGACGCUGAGGCGCGAAGGCGUGGGGAGCAAACA